CGGCGAACGGGUGAGUAACACGUGGGUAAUCAACCCUCGGUACUGGGAUAGCCCGGGGAAACCCGGAUUAAUACCGGAUGGCCCUUCGGAUCCUCGGAUCUGAAGGAAAAGGUAGCUUCGGCCUCCGACCGAGGACGAGCCCGCGGCGGAUUAGCUUGUUGGUGAGGUAACGGCUCACCAAGGCGACGAUCCGUAGCUGGUCUGAGAGGACGAUCAGCCACACUGGGACUGAGACACGGCCCAG
This 244-nucleotide ribosomal RNA is filed under the name uncultured bacterium. RNAcentral's name for it is "partial 16S ribosomal RNA". It matches the Rfam family "Bacterial small subunit ribosomal RNA", at positions 96 to 334 of the family's 1533-position model. The record is from RNAcentral.